AUUCCAGCUCCAAUAGCGUAUAUUAAAGUUGUUGCAGUUAAAAAGCUCGUAGUUGGAUUUGUGGUGUUUGGCUGAGUCCCAGCAUUGUCUGGGGUCUCGUGUUGAAUGCCAUCCUUGGGUGGAAGCAGUGUGGCAUUAGGUUGUCGUGCUGUGGAUGCCCAUCGUUUACUGUGAAAAAAUCAGCGCGUUCAAAGCAGGCUUAUGCCGUUGAAUGUAUUAGCAUGGAAUAAUAAGAUAGGACCUUGGUACUAUUUUGUUGGUUUGCGCACCGAGGUAAUGAUUAAUAGGGACAGUUGGGGGUAUUCGUAUUCCAUUGUCAGAGGUGAAAUUCUUGGAUUUCUGGAAGACGAACUACUGCGAAAGCAUUUACCAAGGAUGUUUUC
Molecule: ribosomal RNA, 383 nt
Filed under: Planothidium caputium
Lineage: Eukaryota; Bacillariophyta; Bacillariophyceae; Cocconeidales; Achnanthidiaceae
Description: SSU rRNA
Rfam family: Eukaryotic small subunit ribosomal RNA
Source: RNAcentral